Cavia porcellus (domestic guinea pig) is the source of this 1775-nucleotide long non-coding RNA. RefSeq lists it as uncharacterized. The transcript has 4 exons. NCBI's taxonomy places the organism in Eukaryota, Metazoa, Chordata, Mammalia, Rodentia, Caviidae. The record is from RefSeq and is a predicted model, not a curated record.
GUCAUUUUCAUCACAGGGAAAGCCUCCAUAUCAUCUAGCUUUAAUAUUGGAUCAGGCCAGGGGGGUAAAUUUAGAAAUCAUGCCUCUCAGCGGGGGUCGCUGAGUGGGAGAAAUCUUGGAGGAAACUCUGGGUUUGGACCCAUGAACAGCAUCCCUCACUAAGUCCCCUGUUCUCAGGUCCCACGUUGGGGGUGCCACUUGUCCCGGCCUGCAGAAAAUUGCUGCCACUGCUGGGUGCAAAACCACCACAUCAGCUGUCAUGGUUCACUGUCUGCACCAGAAGACAGAGGAUGAGCUCUUGGAGACAACUCUGAAAAUGAGUUUCCUCAUUGUGCCCCCUGUGACUGAUGGUGUGCUGCUACCCAAAGCAUCAGAAGACGUGGCUGGAAAAAAUUUCAACACUGUCCCCUACAUUGUGGGAAUCAACAAGCAAGAAUUUGGCUGACUUAAGCCAACAGUGAGAGUGUACAGGCCUCUCAGACAGAUCUACCACUCUCCCUUAUCAUUCCUUCAGCCUCUGAUCCCAAGAGUUCCUCUUUUCCUAAGCCCCCUACCUAGUCCAGGACAGUUGCUUCUAGAAAUAGCCUUGUGGUUAGCUAUAAUGUGCCUAUAGGGUACAGCAUGGGGAAAUCUCCCCACCCUCUGCAACACUCAUUGCCUUCCUAUUAAAGAAUCCUUAUGCUCAGACUCAGAGGCCUUUAAAGAUUAAAAAAAAAUAAAAAGAAAGAAAAAUUUGUGCCAGUAGAAAAAUUCAGGUUGUUUAUAAUGAAUAAGAAAUGUCAGGCUUGUGAGGUAAUAGGUUCCACCUUAGACUUGAGCUCACAGGUCCCAUGGCUUUCCACCAUAUACUCUCAAGUUCCCGCAGUGGGGACAUUCACAUAAAAUAUCUUGUUGAAAUAAAAUUGGCUUUUAAAUGGGAAGAAGAGCUUUUUUUCUGUGAAAGAUAAUGGCAGGACACUAAUUAAAAUGUUAGGAUAGGUUUUAUUCAUUAAUGAUAGUGCAAGAAAAAGAUGAAGCAUGACUUGAACUCAAAUACAUGACCUGAAUGCCUGUAGAUGUUCCAGGCUGGCUGAGUUCAGGAAGGUACUGACGAAUGACCUGACUAGAUCACUGGAUUUGUUCACCAGACACAUUUGUAGGAGAAGUAGACUUCCCUCUGUUUAUGAGAGAACAUAGAGAGAGGCCCCAUUAAAGUUAGACCUUGAUUCUUCUGUAGGGAUUAUCUCAGAAAGAUAAUCAGUUAUUGCCACACAUGUAUGUAUUUCAAAGCGUUUUCCAAAAAUUAUAACAAAAAUUCUCUCAGUUUGGGUUGGAGAUUUACAUCCCAGUGGCAGAGAAAGGGCUGAUAUUUGUAAGCUUUCUAAAGUGACUGGUCUAGGAAAAGACUCAGAGAUCUAUUUGUAUGCACCAGGCUUACACUGGAGAAAACAGUAAUUUUACCUGUAAGCACUGAGUAUUCUCAGGCAGACAUUUUGAGUAUGCAGUCAUCUCAGGGCAUGGGUUUAAGCUGCUAGAAGGACAGAAUUGGAUCAAGUCUAUGAGUGCAGAAGUUUGCAUAGGGUGUCACAUGCAAGACCUGCAGUUCUCACUUCAAAAAGGGCUCAAAGCUUUUCAAGACCAAAGCUACAAUGUUGAUCUUGUCUUCCUGAGUCCUCUUGAGUCUGCAGGGCCUUGUCAGUUAGUGCCUUCUUUCCCUGAUCCCUCGGCUUCAACACUACCCUAACUUGUGUUUUCUUACUUCUUAGGUGACCAGUUUUUUUUCCUGACCUGAUAAA